This 515-nucleotide ribosomal RNA is filed under the name uncultured bacterium. RNAcentral's name for it is "partial 16S ribosomal RNA". It matches the Rfam family "Bacterial small subunit ribosomal RNA", at positions 28 to 523 of the family's 1533-position model. The record is from RNAcentral.
GAUGAACGCUGGCGGCGUGCCUAAUACAUGCAAGUCGAGCGAAUGGAUUAAGAGCUUGCUCUUAUGAAGUUAGCGGCGGACGGGUGAGUAACACGUGGGUAACCUGCCCAUAAGACUGGGAUAACUCCGGGAAACCGGGGCUAACACCGGAUAACAUUUUGAACCGCAUGGUUCGAAAUUGAAAGGCGGCUUCGGCUGUCACUUAUGGAUGGACCCGCGUCGCAUUAGCUAGUUGGUGAGGUAACGGCUCACCAAGGCAACGAUGCGUAGCCGACCUGAGAGGGUGAUCGGCCACACUGGGACUGAGACACGGCCCAGACUCCUACGGGAGGCAGCAGUAGGGAAUCUUCCGCAAUGGACGAAAGUCUGACGGAGCAACGCCGCGUGAGUGAUGAAGGCUUUCGGGUCGUAAAACUCUGUUGUUAGGGAAGAAUAAGUGCUAGUUGAAUAAGCUGACACCUUGACGGUACCUAACCAGAAAGCCACGGCUAACUACGUGCCAGCCGCCGCCGUAA